RNAcentral lists this ribosomal RNA (253 nucleotides) under uncultured bacterium. RNAcentral's name for it is "partial 16S ribosomal RNA". It matches the Rfam family "Bacterial small subunit ribosomal RNA", at positions 524 to 776 of the family's 1533-position model. The record is from RNAcentral.
UACAGAGAGUGCAAACGUUGUUCGGAAUCACUGGGCAUAAAGCGCACGUAGGCGGCGCCACAAGUGCGGGGUGAAAUCCCACGGCUUACCCGUGGAACUGCCUGGUAUACUGUGGUGCUAGAGGAUGGUAGGGGAGAGCGGAACUCCUGGUGGAGCGGUGAAAUGCGUAGAGAUCAGGAGGAACACCGGUGGCGAAGGCGGCUCUCUGGUCCAUAACUGACGCUGAGGUGCGAAAGCUAGGGGAGCAAACGGG